RNAcentral lists this ribosomal RNA (427 nucleotides) under uncultured Massilia sp. RNAcentral describes it as "bacterial SSU rRNA". It matches the Rfam family "Bacterial small subunit ribosomal RNA", at positions 353 to 772 of the family's 1533-position model. Lineage: Bacteria; Pseudomonadati; Pseudomonadota; Betaproteobacteria; Burkholderiales; Oxalobacteraceae. The record is from RNAcentral.
AGUGGGGAAUUUUGGACAAUGGGCGCAAGCCUGAUCCAGCAAUGCCGCGUGAGUGAAGAAGGCCUUCGGGUUGUAAAGCUCUUUUGUCAGGGAAGAAACGGCUGAGGAUAAUACCUUCGGCUAAUGACGGUACCUGAAGAAUAAGCACCGGCUAACUACGUGCCAGCAGCCGCGGUAAUACGUAGGGUGCAAGCGUUAAUCGGAAUUACUGGGCGUAAAGCGUGCGCAGGCGGUUUUGUAAGUCUGACGUGAAAGCCCCGGGCUCAACCUGGGAAUUGCGAUGGAGACUGCAAGGCUUGAAUCUGGCAGAGGGGGGUAGAAUUCCACGUGUAGCAGUGAAAUGCGUAGAGAUGUGGAGGAACACCGAUGGCGAAGGCAGCCCCCUGGGUCAAGAUUGACGCUCAUGCACGAAAGCGUGGGGAGCAAA